This 779-nucleotide ribosomal RNA is filed under the name uncultured Neocallimastigales. RNAcentral's name for it is "partial large subunit ribosomal RNA". It matches the Rfam family "Eukaryotic large subunit ribosomal RNA", at positions 26 to 611 of the family's 3401-position model. Lineage: Eukaryota; Fungi; Neocallimastigomycota; Neocallimastigomycetes; Neocallimastigales. The record is from RNAcentral.
CGCAUCUGUGCAUGCAGCAUAUCAAUAAGCGGAGGAAAAGAAAACUAACAAGGAUUCCCCUAGUAACGGCGAGUGAAGCGGGAAGAGCUCAAAUUUGAAAUCUUAAAGGGUUUCCCUUUACGAAUUGUAGUUUAAAGAAGUGUUUUUCUGUUGAGGUUUUUGGUAAAAGUUCUUUGGAAUAGGACAUCAUAGAGGGUGAGAAUCCCGUAUUUGACCUUUACUUUCAACUUUGUGAUACACUUUCAAAGAGUCGGAUUGUUUGGGAAUGCAGUCCAAAAUGGGUGGUAAAAUUUCAUCUAAAGCUAAAUAUUGGCGAGAGACCGAUAGCGAACAAGUACCGUGAGGGAAAGAUGAAAAGAACUUUGAAAAGAGAGUUAGACAGUACGUGAAAUUGUCAAAAGGGAAGCGUUUGACACCAGUGUUGUUUUUCUGAAAAUCAAUUAAAGAACUGUUUAUGCUAAGUUGUUUAGACUUUAUCAGCUAACUGUUUAGUUUUGAGCUUUUCUUUAAUGCACUUUUCAGUUAACAAGUCAACAUCAAUUUCUUUUGCUGUAAAAAAAGCUUGAGGAAGGUGGCUUGAGAUUCGUCUUAAGUGUUUAUAGCCUCUUGCCUAUGCAGUCGGAGAGAUUGAGGUCUGCAGCGUAGAUCCUUCGGGGCUAAAUGCAUUUGUGCUAAGUUAUAGCAUUUUAUAGACAACUUGUUGACUAUGAUUUGUCUUGUAGCUUACUCGCUUAUGUUAUUUUACCUACGCUUAGGAUGUUGAACGCGCACAGAGUCUC